RNAcentral lists this ribosomal RNA (465 nucleotides) under Vreelandella stevensii. RNAcentral describes it as "partial 16S ribosomal RNA". It matches the Rfam family "Bacterial small subunit ribosomal RNA", at positions 338 to 795 of the family's 1533-position model. The record is from RNAcentral. Lineage: Bacteria; Pseudomonadati; Pseudomonadota; Gammaproteobacteria; Oceanospirillales; Halomonadaceae.
CCUACGGGAGGCUGCAGUGGGGAAUAUUGGACAAUGGGCGAAAGCCUGAUCCAGCCAUGCCGCGUGUGUGAAGAAGGCCUUCGGGUUGUAAAGCACUUUCAGUGGGGAAGAAAGCCUUGGGGCUAAUACCCUCGAGGAAGGACAUCACCCACAGAAGAAGCACCGGCAAACUCCGUGCCAGCAGCCGCGGUAAUACGGAGGGUGCGAGCGUUAAUCGGAAUUACUGGGCGUAAAGCGCGCGUAGGCGGUCUGAUAAGCCGGUUGUGAAAGCCCCGGGCUCAACCUGGGAACGGCAUCCGGAACUGUCAGGCUAGAGUGCAGGAGAGGAAGGUAGAAUUCCCGGUGUAGCGGUGAAAUGCGUAGAGAUCGGGAGGAAUACCAGUGGCGAAGGCGGCCUUCUGGACUGACACUGACGCUGAGGUGCGAAAGCGUGGGUAGCAAACAGGAUUAGAUACCCGAGUAGUC